GCUGUUUGGAUACGAGGUGCUAAACUUUAACAGUGUCACAUCGGAUGUUCGGAUGCUAGUUAGGAGGACUAAACAUGAGCUAAUUAUAAAACUAAUUGCAGAACCUUGUGCUAAUUCGCGAGACGAAUCUAUUAAGCCUAAUUAAUCCACCAUUAGCAAAUGGUUACUGUAGCACCACAUUGUCAAAUCAUGGACUAAUUAGGCUUAAUAGAUUCGUCUCGCGAAUUAUACUCCAUCUGUGCAAUUAGUUUUGUAAUUAGCUUAUGUUUAGUACUCCUAAUUAGCAUCCAAACAUCCGAUGUGACAGGUGUUAAACUGUAACAAGUGUUUCCCAAACACCCC
This 342-nucleotide long non-coding RNA is filed under the name Setaria italica (foxtail millet). RNAcentral describes it as "long non-coding RNA (SITA_LNC002916)". The record is from RNAcentral. Lineage: Eukaryota; Viridiplantae; Streptophyta; Magnoliopsida; Poales; Poaceae.